Molecule: ribosomal RNA, 396 nt
Filed under: uncultured soil bacterium
Lineage: Bacteria
Description: bacterial SSU rRNA
Rfam family: Bacterial small subunit ribosomal RNA
Source: RNAcentral
AGGACGAACGCUGGCGGCGUGCUUAACACAUGCAAGUCGAGCGGUAAGGCCUUUCGGGGUACACGAGCGGCGAACGGGUGAGUAACACGUGGGUGAUCUGCCCUGCACUUCGGGAUAAGCCUGGGGAACUGGGUCUAAUACCGGAUAUGACCUCCUAUCGCAUGGUGGGUGGUGGAAAGAUUUAUCGGUGCAGGAUGGGCCCGCGGCCUAUCAGCUUGUUGGUGGGGUAAUGGCCUACCAAGGCGACGACGGGUAGCCGACCUGAGAGGGUGACCGGCCACACUGGGACUGAGACACGGCCCAGACUCCUACGGGAGGCAGCAGUGGGGAAUAUUGCACAAUGGGCGAAAAGCCUGAUGCAGCGACGCCGCGUGAGGGAUGACGGCCUUCGGGUUG